GCGGGGAAUAUUGGACAAUGGGCGAAAGCCUGAUCCAGCGACGCCGCGUGUCGGAAGGAGUCCUUCGGGAUGUAAACGACUUUUGGUGGAGACGAAUAAGCAGCUCAGGGAAUGGGGCUGUGAUGACGGUAUCCAUGGAAUAAGCCCCGGCUAACUACGUGCCAGCAGCCGCGGUAAGACGUAGGGGGCAAGCGUUACCCGGAAUUACUGGGCGUAAAGGGAGCGUAGGCGGGAGGUCAAGUCCGGUGUGAAAGACCCUGGCUCAACCAGGGAUGAGGGCUGGAAACUGACAAUCUUGAGUACAGCAGAGGAAGAGGGAAUUACCGGUGUAGGGGUGAAAUCCGUAGAGACCGGUAAGAAGGCCAGUGGCGAAGGCGCUUUUCUGGGCUGUUACUGACGCUGAGGCUCGAAAGCCAGGGG
This 420-nucleotide ribosomal RNA is filed under the name uncultured bacterium. RNAcentral describes it as "bacterial SSU rRNA". It matches the Rfam family "Bacterial small subunit ribosomal RNA", at positions 354 to 766 of the family's 1533-position model. The record is from RNAcentral.